This 97-nucleotide transfer RNA is filed under the name Anaerotruncus sp. Its description in RNAcentral is "tRNA-Sec". It matches the Rfam family "Selenocysteine transfer RNA". The record is from RNAcentral. Lineage: Bacteria; Bacillati; Bacillota; Clostridia; Eubacteriales; Oscillospiraceae.
GGGGGUAGAUGGAUGCUGGUGUAUUCCGCGGUCUUCAAAACCGUUGCAGGUCGCGAAAGGCUGCCUGGGUGAGUUCGAUUCUCACAUAUCCCCGCCA